AUACGGAGGAUGCGAGCGUUAUCCGGAUUUAUUGGGUUUAAAGGGAGCGUAGGCGGGAGCUUAAGUCAGCGGUUAAAUGGUGCGGCUCAACCGUGCCCUGCCGUUGAAACUGGGUUUCUUGAGAGUGCAAGAGGCGGAUGGAAUUCAUGGAGUAGCGGGGAAAUGCUUAGAUAUCAUGAAGAACUCCGAUUGCGAAGGCAGUCCGCUGGGGCACGUCUGACGCUGAUGCUCGAAGGUGCGGGAAUCAAACAGGAUUAGAUACCCUGGUAGUCCGCACGGUAAACGAUGAUUACCCGCUGUCGGCGGCAGACAGUCGGCGGCCAAGCGAAAGCGAUAAGUAAUCCACCUGGGGAGUACGCCGGCAACGGUGAAACUCAAAUGAAUUGACGGGG
Molecule: ribosomal RNA, 392 nt
Filed under: uncultured bacterium
Lineage: Bacteria
Description: partial 16S ribosomal RNA
Rfam family: Bacterial small subunit ribosomal RNA
Source: RNAcentral